RNAcentral lists this non-coding RNA (46 nucleotides) under Schistosoma haematobium. The record is from RNAcentral. Lineage: Eukaryota; Metazoa; Platyhelminthes; Trematoda; Strigeidida; Schistosomatidae.
GUUCAGCUGACAAGUCCAAAAACAGGACGAAACGCGCAUCCUCAAU